UGAACAAAGUCUGCUGGCUCAGCCAUUGCCAGAAACCGGCCGUCGGAGGUGAACUUGAGAGCCCUAAUGGCCCCCAUAUUUCCCUUCAACACAGUCAGGGACUGCGAUAAGUUCCUUAUGUCCCACAGCCUGCAAGUAGUGUCUUGGUUCCCAGAGGCUAAAAUUCUUCCAUCCGGGUGCCAGGCUGAAGCAAAUGAGUAGUCCAAGUGUCCUUUAAGGUUCCCAGUGACUUUACCAGACUGAGCAUCAGCUAUCAAGCACUCUGUGCUGUCCCCAAGUACUGC
This 284-nucleotide long non-coding RNA is filed under the name Citrus maxima (pomelo). RNAcentral's name for it is "long non-coding RNA (CMAX_LNC001565)". The record is from RNAcentral. Lineage: Eukaryota; Viridiplantae; Streptophyta; Magnoliopsida; Sapindales; Rutaceae.